RNAcentral lists this long non-coding RNA (835 nucleotides) under Vulpes vulpes (red fox). RNAcentral's name for it is "lncRNA (ENSVVUG00000018183.1)". The record is from RNAcentral. Lineage: Eukaryota; Metazoa; Chordata; Mammalia; Carnivora; Canidae.
CGCAGAGACACAGCUAGAGGGAGAAGCAGGCUCCUUGCCAGGAGCCAGAUGCAGGACUUGAUCCCAGGAUUCCAGGAUCGGGCCCUGGGCCAAAGGCAGGUGCGAAACCGCUGAGCCACCCAGGGAUCCCCAAGUUAUUUUUCUUUAUUCUGCCUCCAGUGCAAGUUGGACUUCCAACGCUGAGAACAGACCUCUGAGCACUGGAUAUUUGGAGGCAACUGAUCAGUGCCCAUGGUUGGGUAGGUGUGGGCUGGCUAUAAUGCACGGAGGGAGUCAGCAGCACAGAAGGGACCAACGAAGUUUAUAGUAGAGUCAUGGAUGGAGCAUUCCUCCUGCAUAAACUCCUGGAGACUUUGGCGAUUUACUUCAGAGACCAUCUGGUUUCAGUCGUGAUCCUUGGGAGUGUUAUAAAGUGACCCCUACAUUCAAGGAAACCCCUUUACCUCCUUUCAUUGGAAGCUUCUGGCUGAGCUGGGUUCAGGACUGGCCUCUUCUGUGAUAGUUUCCAAUCUUUGAGGAAGCACCAGACCUGUCUCAGCACAAUUUCAUGACCAUACUGGAACUCUGAAGAAACAAGGACUUCUUUUCAUAGCUAUGUGUAAGAUUUCUUCACACUAAAUGAAAAUAAGCAUGAACUUUGUUAGAAAUCUGUCAUCUGGAAUGCCCAGGUAGCUCAGUGGAUUAGGUAGCUGCACUCGGCUCAGGUCCUGGGAUCUAGCCCUGCUCAGGAUCCCUGCUCAGUGGGGAAACUGCUUCUCCCUCUGCUCUUCCACCCACCUCUGACUUGUACACUCUUUCUAAUAAAUAAAAAUCUUUUAAAAAAGAGAGAGAGAUC